Molecule: ribosomal RNA, 466 nt
Filed under: uncultured bacterium
Lineage: Bacteria
Description: partial 16S ribosomal RNA
Rfam family: Bacterial small subunit ribosomal RNA
Source: RNAcentral
GAUGAACGCUGGCGGCGUGCUUAACACAUGCAAGUCGAACGGAAAGGCCCAAGCUUGCUUGGGUGCUCGAGUGGCGAACGGGUGAGUAACACGUGGGUGAUCUGCCCUGCACUUUGGGAUAAGCCUGGGAAACUGGGUCUAAUACCGGAUAGGACCAUCGUUUGGUGUCGGUGGUGGAAAGUUUUUCGGUGUGGGAUGAGCUCGCGGCCUAUCAGCUUGUUGGUGGGGUAAUGGCCUACCAAGGCGUCGACGGGUAGCCGGCCUGAGAGGGUGUACGGCCACAUUGGGACUGAGAUACGGCCCAGACUCCUACGGGAGGCAGCAGUGGGGAAUAUUGCACAAUGGGCGCAAGCCUGAUGCAGCGACGCCGCGUGGGGGAUGACGGCCUUCGGGUUGUAAACUCCUUUCGCCAAGGACGAAGCGUUUUGUGACGCUACUUGGAGAAGAAGCACCGGCUAACUACGUG